RNAcentral lists this non-coding RNA (202 nucleotides) under Enterococcus sp. RNAcentral describes it as "T-box sequence". It matches the Rfam family "T-box leader". From Rfam's summary of the family: Uncharged tRNA acts as the effector for transcription antitermination of genes in the T-box leader family. The record is from RNAcentral. Lineage: Bacteria; Bacillati; Bacillota; Bacilli; Lactobacillales; Enterococcaceae.
UUUAAAACAAUGAUGAGAAGUAGUAAGGUGGAAGCUUUUUUAGAGAGUGUGUGGUUGGUGAAAACACAUGAAGAUUAGAAACCUGAACUUAGCUCUGAGUUUGCUAUUAUAGCCGGGAUCAACCCGUUAUCAUGAGAUAGAGAUGCUAGAUUUAUUUAGCAUAAAAAUAGGUGGUACCACGUUAGAAAUCAACGUCCUAUAA